CCUACGGGAGGCAGCAGUGGGGAAUAUUGGGCAAUGGAGGAAACUCUGACCCAGCGACGCCGCGUGAGGGAUGAAGGCCUUCGGGUUGUAAACCUCUUUCAGUAGGGAAGAAGCGAAAGUGACGGUACCUACAGAAGAAGCACCGGCUAACUAUGUGCCAGCAGCCGCGGUAAUACAUAGGGUGCAAGCGUUGUCCGGAAUUAUUGGGCGUAAAGAGCUCGUAGGUGGUUCGAUACGUCGGAUGUGAAAAUCAGGGGCUCAACCCCUGACCUGCAUCCGAUACGGUCGAGCUAGAGUUUGGUAGGGGAGACUGGAAUUCCUGGUGUAGCGGUGGAAUGCGCAGAUAUCAGGAGGAACACCGAUGGCGAAGGCAGGUCUCUGGGCCAAUACUGACACUGAGGAGCGAAAGCGUGGGGAGCGAACAGGAUUAGAUACCCUGGUAGUCCACGCCGUAAACGGUGGGCGCUAGUUGUGCGAACCUUCCACGGUUUGUGCGACGCAGCUAACGCAUUAAGCGCCCCGCCUGGGGAGUACGAUCGCAAGAUUAAAACUCAAAGGAAUUGACGNGNGNGAGNGCGACGACGACGACGAGGAGGAGGAG
Molecule: ribosomal RNA, 601 nt
Filed under: uncultured bacterium
Lineage: Bacteria
Description: bacterial SSU rRNA
Rfam family: Bacterial small subunit ribosomal RNA
Source: RNAcentral